CUGUAUAGCGUGUACCUAGUACCUACACGCGCAUUUCAACAAUUGAAUUAAAGAAGUUUUAAAAGUAUAUAGAUUGAAAUAUUUUGUUAUCAUAAUGUUAUGUACAUAAUAUGUUAUUAAUUCUAAGGUUUAUGUGAUAAAAUUCCACUAAAGUAUUCAAUACUCUCUAUGGCGUGUCAAUGUGUUGUGAAUUGUGACUUUGUGAAAAACUAACUAACUAUAACCUAGUUGUGACUUUUUUACAUCGUCUGUAGAUACCCUCAAAACUAUGUAGCGGACAGUUUUGUAUUAUUGAGGCGGGGCGGGCGCGUGCGUGUGUCGCGGCGCGGGCGCGGCGUGUGGAAUGAAUUUUGAGUUUGGAGACUGCGGCGAGCUUAUUGCUAAAGGCUUUUUCUGCCAUUCAUCGGGAGAUACAAGGU
This is a long non-coding RNA of Manduca sexta (tobacco hornworm), 419 nucleotides long. RefSeq lists it as uncharacterized. Lineage: Eukaryota; Metazoa; Arthropoda; Insecta; Lepidoptera; Sphingidae. The record is from RefSeq and is a predicted model, not a curated record. The transcript has 3 exons.